ACUCGUGUGACUGGCGGAUUAGUGGAAGAAACCACAGGGAGCACGAAGGUAAGAACGUCGACCGCCUGGGCAGCCA
This 76-nucleotide non-coding RNA is filed under the name uncultured Eubacterium sp. Its description in RNAcentral is "ZMP/ZTP riboswitch". It matches the Rfam family "ZMP/ZTP riboswitch aptamer (pfl RNA motif)". From Rfam's summary of the family: Previously known as pfl RNA. Lineage: Bacteria; Bacillati; Bacillota; Clostridia; Eubacteriales; Eubacteriaceae. The record is from RNAcentral.